Oxyura jamaicensis (ruddy duck) is the source of this 182-nucleotide long non-coding RNA. RefSeq lists it as uncharacterized. NCBI's taxonomy places the organism in Eukaryota, Metazoa, Chordata, Aves, Anseriformes, Anatidae. The record is from RefSeq and is a predicted model, not a curated record. The transcript has 3 exons.
GGGAGGACAUUAACCUGUCAGAUCUGAAGGCAGGAGAAGGUGCAACCGGUCAAGCUGAAAAGGCCUAUUUUUGUGAACCUUUGAAAUACAAGUUAGGAAAACAACUGGGCAUACACAGAUUUUUAUAUAUGCCCACCUCCCCAUGGGCACUCUUAGGUAGAGAUUUAUUAGAGCAGUUAGGA